RNAcentral lists this ribosomal RNA (488 nucleotides) under uncultured bacterium. Its description in RNAcentral is "partial 16S ribosomal RNA". It matches the Rfam family "Bacterial small subunit ribosomal RNA", at positions 28 to 507 of the family's 1533-position model. The record is from RNAcentral.
GAUGAACGCUGGCGGCGUGCUUAACACAUGCAAGUCGAACGGACAGGCCAUGAUUUUGUGGGGUGCUCGUGAGGCGAGCGGGUGAGUAAAACGUGAGUAAACCGCCCUUGAAUUUGGGGUAAAUUUUGGAAAAUCGGGCUCAUACCGGGUAGGAGCUAUUGAUGCAUGGUGUGGGUUGGAAAGUUUCGGUGGUUGGGGAUGGAAUAGCGGCGUUUCAGAUAGUUGGUGUGGUAGUUAAUUAACCAGGCUAUGAUGGGUAGCAGACAUGACUGGGUGAUCGGCCACCCUGGAAGGGAGAACCGGUCCAGAGUACUAAGGGAGGCAGCAGUAGGGAAUCUGCCGCAAUGGGCGGAAGAUUGACGGAGAAACGCCGCGUGAGUGAUGAAGGUCUUCGGAUCGUAAAACUCUGUUAUUAGGGAAGAACACAUGUGUAAGUAACUAUGCACGUGUUGACGGUACAUGAUCAGAAAGCCACGGCUAACUACGUG